GAUGAACGCUGGCGGCGUGCCUAAUACAUGCAAGUCGAGCGAACAGAUAAGGAGCUUGCUCCUUUGACGUUAGCGGCGGACGGGUGAGUAACACGUGGGUAACCUACCUAUAAGACUGGGAUAACUUCGGGAAACCGGAGCUAAUACCGGAUAACAUUUGGAACCGCAUGGUUCUAAAGUGAAAGAUGGUUUUGCUAUCACUUAUAGAUGGACCCGCGCCGUAUUAGCUAGUUGGUAAGGUAACGGCUUACCAAGGCGACGAUACGUAGCAGACCUGAGAGGGUGAUCGGCCACACUGGAACUGAGACACGGUCCAGACUCCUACGGGAGGCAGCAGUAGGGAAUCUUCCGCAAUGGGCGAAAGCCUGACGGAGCAACGCCGCGUGAGUGAUGAAGGUCUUCGGAUCGUAAAACUCUGUUGUUAGGGAAGAACAAAUUUGUUAGUAACUGAACAAGUCUUGACGGUACCUAACCAGAAAGCCACGGCUAACUACGUGCCAGCCGCCGCCGUAA
Molecule: ribosomal RNA, 513 nt
Filed under: uncultured bacterium
Lineage: Bacteria
Description: partial 16S ribosomal RNA
Rfam family: Bacterial small subunit ribosomal RNA
Source: RNAcentral